GAUGAACGCUAGCGGCAGGCCUAACACAUGCAAGUCGAGGGGCAUCAUGGCGUAGCAAUACGCUGAUGGCGACCGGCGCACGGGUGCGUAACGCGUAUGGAACCUACCCACCGCGAGGGGAUAACCCGCCGAAAGGCGGACUAAUACCCCAUGGUUCCCCGACCCUGCCUGGGGUUGGGGGUAAAGCCUACGGGCGGCGGUGGAUGGCCCUGCGUGCCAUUAGCUGGCUGGUGGGGUAACGGCCCACCAGGGCGACGAUGGCUAGGGGGUCUGAGAGGACGAUCCCCCACACUGGUACUGAGACACGGACCAGACUCCUACGGGAGGCAGCAGUGAGGAAUAUUGGACAAUGGAUGGAAAUCUGAUCCAGCCAUGCCGCGUGCAGGAAGACGGCCCUAUGGGUUGUAAACUGCUUUUAUAUGGGAGCAAUAAGGUUUACGAGUAGACCGAUGAGAGUACCAUAUGAAUAAGCAUCGGCUAACUCCGUG
RNAcentral lists this ribosomal RNA (488 nucleotides) under uncultured bacterium. Its description in RNAcentral is "bacterial SSU rRNA". It matches the Rfam family "Bacterial small subunit ribosomal RNA", at positions 28 to 507 of the family's 1533-position model. The record is from RNAcentral.